RNAcentral lists this ribosomal RNA (253 nucleotides) under uncultured bacterium. RNAcentral's name for it is "partial 16S ribosomal RNA". It matches the Rfam family "Bacterial small subunit ribosomal RNA", at positions 524 to 776 of the family's 1533-position model. The record is from RNAcentral.
UACGUAGGGUGCAAGCGUUGUCCGGAAUUAUUGGGCGUAAAGAGCUCGUAGGCGGUCUGUCGCGUCUGGUGUGAAAACUCAGGGCUUAACCCUGAGCUUGUAUCGGGUACGGGCAGACUAGAGUGUGCUAGGGGAGACUGGAAUUCCUGGUGUAGCGGUGAAAUGCGCAGAUAUCAGGAGGAACACCGGUGGCGAAGGCGGGUCUCUGGGGCAUAACUGACGCUGAGGAGCGAAAGCAUGGGGAGCGAACAGG